AAAAUCCGUUGGUUUCACGGAACCGUGAGGGUUC
RNAcentral lists this transfer RNA (34 nucleotides) under Thylacopteris papillosa. Its description in RNAcentral is "partial tRNA-Leu". Lineage: Eukaryota; Viridiplantae; Streptophyta; Polypodiopsida; Polypodiales; Polypodiaceae. The record is from RNAcentral.